UACGAAGGGGGCUAGCGUUGCUCGGAAUGACUGGGCGUAAAGGGCGCGUAGGCGGAUGGCACAGUCAGAUGUGAAAUUCCCGGGCUUAACCUGGGGGCUGCAUUUGAUACGUGUUGUCUUGAGUUCGGAAGAGGGUCGUGGAAUUCCCAGUGUAGAGGUGAAAUUCGUAGAUAUUGGGAAGAACACCGGUGGCGAAGGCGGCCAACUGGACGGUGACUGACACUGAGACGCGAAAGCGUGGGGAGCAAACAGG
RNAcentral lists this ribosomal RNA (253 nucleotides) under uncultured bacterium. Its description in RNAcentral is "partial 16S ribosomal RNA". It matches the Rfam family "Bacterial small subunit ribosomal RNA", at positions 524 to 776 of the family's 1533-position model. The record is from RNAcentral.